GGGCCCCUGCGGCGCGUGGUGACGUGCGGCGCGGGCGCUGCGGCGGCGCCUGAGACCCCCCCGCCCCGGCGGUAGUGAGUCUCUGAGGUGUGCGGCUGGACCCGCUCGUGCCGCCUGGGCGUCUGCGUACGAGAGGCCCAGGUUGUGGCAGUGCGUGUGUGUUGUGGGGCCUGCGUUUGUGAUCGCGUUGUUUUGUGUGUGAGGGGAAACACCGCUUUUGGAUGUGUAUGUGUAGGCUCUGCGUGCUUUUGCACAACAGCAGAGUUGAGUAGCUGUGACACAAAUGUGUGUUGUCCACAGAACCUAAACUACCCUCUGGCCCUGGAUCCCAGCUUUUGUGAUUGUGGGGAGGGUGUGUGUGUGUGUGUGUGUGUGUGUGUAGGGAUCCCAGAAAAUAAACGUGCGUGUGCACAGGCUGCCGUUUGUGCAAGUGCACCCUGCGGACGUACGUGUGCGGCUGUUUUUGUGGUCGUGUGUGUGUGAGACCACUGUUGGCUCUGCGUGUGCAGACUCCGUUUUUGCGUUUUCGUUCCCGUUGCACCGUGAGCAUUCUCUCCCCACCCUCGCACCGCUCUCUGGCCCCAGCGCGCGUCCUUACUCAGCCUGAGUCUGACGCUCGGACGCCCGGGGCCGCGCCCGCGCCGGGUCCGACGCCAGGUCUCGGUGCGCAGGCCGGCUUCCAGGGCCCCGCCGCCUCGGGCUGGACUGACGCGCCGAGAGCGCCUGUGGAGGGUUGUUUUACUUCCGCCAUCACCAGUUGUCCUAAAGGGACGUGCUCGGGCAGGGACCGAUGAAGACGGGGAAGGGGCUCCCAGCUCCCACCGCCCCAGGGCCCGCGCGGCGUUCGCCAGCCUGGAAGCGCCCUCGACCCCCUCCCGUUGGCGGGGGGCUUCGUUAGGGAUUUUUUUCUUGGAGCAAGUUGCUUCCUGAACUGGAAGAUUCUUCUGAGUACCUGGUGGUGCUAGAACAAAGGGGAUGGCCAAGAAAACCAAGAAACCUCAAGAUAAACCUGCAAUUUGGCAGUUCUUUGGGUGUUUUCCUUAGACCACCUCCCAAGAAACUAUAGAACAAAGUGUUCUGGAGGAUUCAGGAAAGGAAAGAAAGGAUGUCUCUUUCUCUGAUAGAAGAGAGUCCUGCAGAGGGAUAUGCCGGCCACAUGUAGCCAUCUGCCUCUUGUCUUUAAUGAGCUGAGAGGACUUCCUGCUCUCAAGCCCACGAGGAGAAGGCCCAUUCAGUCACACAUACCAGCUCUUCGCAGACCCUGACUCAUGGAGCCUUUGAGCCAAGGGUAACAACUGCCUAUUUUGAGACAUUUUGUUGUGUGGUAAAAACAAACUCAUACUAGUCAGGUGUCCCACGACGUGUAGCCAUCUACAUCUGCAGUCCUACACUUGGUUUAUUUACACCUGUCCCAGGCAGAUCAGCAGGAAAAAUGAUUGCUUGCCCAAAAUGUUCUUAAGCAAACACAUGGGCAUACCUUUGGGCCACUGCGCAAACGCAUUUCAUAGCAUUCACUCUUUUUGUUUCCACUUUCAAUCCUCCCACAUCCCCCCAUCUCUCAUAUUCAUGUAUGUCAAAACUGUUGUUUCUCUUAUUCUCUAUGACAGUAGUUCCUUUAGCUGUGCUUUUCUUCGAAUCUCUCCUCUGCAUAGUGUCACCAUGCAGGUGGGGCAAACGGAAGAGUCAGCCUUAACUCAAAGUACAUCAGCAACUAUACUGCAUAUAUAAAGAGUAAGUGUUCCAGUCAAAAGGCAGAGACCGACAACCUGGGUACAAAAAAAAAUCAUAGGUUGUUUGAAGAAAACAACUCAUAUAUAAGGACACAGACAAGUUAAUCAUAAAAAAAAAAUGGGAAAAAUUUAUACUACGUUACUUACUCUGCUAAGAUUGGCCUGCUGUAACUAAACUAGAUGGCUUAUAAACAGCAGAAAUUAAUUUCCCACAGUCUGGAGGCCGGACAGGAGGCUGUUGGUGUUCCCAACCAACAGACGCAGGCACACUCUUGCAAAUCAUUUCAUUUUGUUGAACCACCUAUAUAAAAUGUACUCUUACCUACAACUCUGCCAGCCUAUUAUAUUUUGUGUCAUUGUACAACUAGGCAGACAGGCAGAACUUCAUGUCCUCAGAUGACCAAGGAUAGGCUCCUCUGUUUCCCACAGACCUAUAUUUUACUUCUCCAAUCACUACUGGAAAUUUAUGCUAUCGAUUGUGAUGUGAUAUGCAUGUGUGUAUAUGAGUAUAAUAUAAAACUGUAAACAUAAGCUAUAUAAACAAAAAC
Zalophus californianus (California sea lion) is the source of this 2278-nucleotide long non-coding RNA. RefSeq lists it as uncharacterized. The transcript has 3 exons. Lineage: Eukaryota; Metazoa; Chordata; Mammalia; Carnivora; Otariidae. The record is from RefSeq and is a predicted model, not a curated record.